Molecule: unclassified non-coding RNA, 465 nt
Filed under: Zea mays
Lineage: Eukaryota; Viridiplantae; Streptophyta; Magnoliopsida; Poales; Poaceae
Description: misc RNA Zm00001eb085750
Source: RNAcentral
CGGUGGCCGAACAGAACUAUGAGGGAGAGAGCGGAGAGAGAGAGAGUGAGUGGAAGCCGAGGGCCGCCGUGGUUGCAAGAACUGGGCAGAGGUGGUCGCUGUCAGUGAUUUGUGGCUACGGCAACAUGGGAACCUCGAGCGGGUCAUGUGGGUUUCCCUGGGAAGCUCUGCGCGUGCUUGGGGUCUCACCAAGGGAGAAAGGCAACCGAAAUCGCUCGUCGGUGUGUGCAUCGGCCUCACACCCGCGCCUCGCCGUGGUCCGGUCUCUGUGCCACCCGAUUGCCGCGCGAGGUCACGAGUCCUCUGAAAAGCAAGUUGGUACCUGGAAUCUCAAGUGUCAGACAAGAGAAGAACAGGUGGUCGAAGAGGAGCCGCCUAGCACUGAGGCUUUUGACUUGAUCUAGGUGGUGUCUCCCAGUCAGCUUUGUGGCGCUAGGGAAUAAUAUAUAGUUCGCUUUAUUUUAU